This 75-nucleotide transfer RNA is filed under the name Streptomyces acidiscabies. RNAcentral describes it as "tRNA-Met". It matches the Rfam family "tRNA". From Rfam's summary of the family: Transfer RNA (tRNA) molecules are approximately 80 nucleotides in length. Their secondary structure includes four short double-helical elements and three loops (D, anti-codon, and T loops). Further hydrogen bonds mediate the characteristic L-shaped molecular structure. tRNAs have two regions of fundamental functional importance: the anti-codon, which is responsible for specific mRNA codon recognition, and the 3' end, to which the tRNAs corresponding amino acid is attached (by aminoacyl-tRNA synthetases). tRNAs cope with the degeneracy of the genetic code in two manners: having more than one tRNA (with a specific anti-codon) for a particular amino acid; and 'wobble' base-pairing, i.e. permitting non-standard base-pairing at the 3rd anti-codon position. The record is from RNAcentral. Lineage: Bacteria; Bacillati; Actinomycetota; Actinomycetes; Kitasatosporales; Streptomycetaceae.
UGGCCCCUAGCUCAGUCUGGUAGAGCGCCGCCCUCAUAAGGCGGAGGUCCCUGGUUCAAAUCCGGGCGGGCCAAC